CCUAGUAAUCUGCCUGGUAGUGGGGAAUAACGUUCGGAAACGAACGCUAAUACCGCAGACGUCCUACGGGAGAAAGCAGGGGACCUUCGGGCCUUGCGCUAUCAGAUGAGCCUAGGUCGGAUUAGCUAGUUGGUGAGGUAAUGGCUCACCAAGGCGACGAUCCGUAACUGGUCUGAGAGGAUGAUCAGUCACACUGGAACUGAGACACGGUCCAGACUCCUACGGGAGGCAGCAGUGGGGAAUAUUGGACAAUGGGCGAAAGCCUGAUCCAGCCAUGCCGCGUGUGUGAAGAAGGUCUUCGGAUUGUAAAGCACUUUAAGUUGGGAGGAAGGGCAGUUACCUAAUACGUAAUUGUUUUGACGUUACCGACAGAAUAAGCACCGGCUAACUCUGUGCCAGCAGCCGCGGUAAUACAGAGGGUGCAAGCGUUAAUCGGAAUUACUGGGCGUAAAGCGCGCGUAGGUGGUUCGUUAAGUUGGAUGUGAAAUCCCCGGGCUCAACCUGGGAACUGCAUUCAAAACUGUCGAGCUAGAGUAUGGUAGAGGGUGGGUGGAAUUUCCUGUGUAGCGGUGAAAUGCGUAGAUAUAGGAAGGAACACCAGUGGCGAAGGCGACCACCUGGACUGAUACUGACACUGAGGUGCGAAAGCGUGGGGAGCAAACAGGAUUAGAUACCCUGGUAGUCCACGCCGUAAACGAUGUCAACUAGCCGUUGGGAGCCUUGAGCUCUUAGUGGCGCAGCUAACGCAUUAAGUUGACCGCCUGGGGAGUACGGCCGCAAGGUUAAACUCAAAUGAAUUGACGGGGGCCCGCACAGCGGUGGAGCAUGUGGUUAAUUCGAAGCACGCGAAGACCUUACAGGCUUGACAUCCAUGACUUUCCAGAGAUGGAUGGUGCCUCGGCACA
Molecule: ribosomal RNA, 905 nt
Filed under: Pseudomonas sp.
Lineage: Bacteria; Pseudomonadati; Pseudomonadota; Gammaproteobacteria; Pseudomonadales; Pseudomonadaceae
Description: bacterial SSU rRNA
Rfam family: Bacterial small subunit ribosomal RNA
Source: RNAcentral